This 206-nucleotide ribosomal RNA is filed under the name uncultured Smithella sp. Its description in RNAcentral is "partial 16S ribosomal RNA". It matches the Rfam family "Bacterial small subunit ribosomal RNA", at positions 1180 to 1382 of the family's 1533-position model. The record is from RNAcentral. Lineage: Bacteria; Pseudomonadati; Thermodesulfobacteriota; Syntrophia; Syntrophales; Smithellaceae.
UGACGUCAAGUCCUCAUGGCCUUUAUUGCUUAGGGCGUACACACGUGCUACAAUGGGUGGGUACAAAGAGAAGCCAACUCGCGAGAGCGCGCCAAUCUCAAAAAGCCAUCCUCAGUUCGGAUUGGAGUCUGCAACUCGACUCCAUGAAGUUGGAAUCGCUAGUAAUCGCGGAUCAGCAUGCCGCGGUGAAUACGUUCCCGGGCCUU